This is a long non-coding RNA of Zalophus californianus (California sea lion), 806 nucleotides long. RefSeq lists it as uncharacterized. NCBI's taxonomy places the organism in Eukaryota, Metazoa, Chordata, Mammalia, Carnivora, Otariidae. The record is from RefSeq and is a predicted model, not a curated record. The transcript has 3 exons.
CACAAGCUAAGCCUGUUCAGUCACCUUCUACACAGUACAUCUCCACAGCCAAGCAGCUAUUGCUACUAUGGUUGGUCUGCGUUUGGGAGAACCACCAGGGAAAUGCAGUGGACCUAGAAGCUGGCUCCAGAUAUAAGGUCUAGAAAGAAUCCAAGAGGCAACCAAGAAAGAAGUAGCAAAGGAGGAGAGAGAAAAGAAAACUUGUUAGGAACCCAGGAUUAAAGGAACAACACAGCAGCAGAACAUCUUACGAACCCUAACACAAUAAGGUGACCCAACCUAGCCACUCAAGAGAAUUCAGGUGGGCUUAUUCUUCCACCACACUGAACUGUAAUGCCAAUGAAAACUGAUGAAUGCAUAGCAAGUACCAGGAUGGAUGGCAGCAGUGGCAAGGGGUAUUCCAGUACAACAAAUGCCCAGCACAGAAAGCCUCUUUUUUUGGCACAGACUUGAGAGUCUUAUCACUCACUCAGAGACACAGGGUAUCCAAGCCUAACUUGCAAAAGAACAACAUUUAACCCUCUAACAAGUGGCCUGACUUGAGAAGCCUCUUGAUCCCAGAGGAUCUGAGACUACCUUCCUCAAUGAAAGUAACUAGGUAUCAAGGCCAAGAUUUCACCAAAUAAAGGAACAUUGUCCAUUAAGUCCCGAAUCUCCCAAUAUCCAUUCAAAAACACCAGGUAGCUAAAAGGCACUCAUAGAAAUGAUCCCAACACAAGAACCACCUCUCCUUGGAAGUGCUCUAGCUCCUCUACUUGUAGGAGGUGCUCUACCCCAACAAGUUCCAAAUCUUGGAAGGACUCAAC